This 75-nucleotide transfer RNA is filed under the name Salmonella enterica subsp. enterica. RNAcentral describes it as "tRNA-Thr". It matches the Rfam family "tRNA". From Rfam's summary of the family: Transfer RNA (tRNA) molecules are approximately 80 nucleotides in length. Their secondary structure includes four short double-helical elements and three loops (D, anti-codon, and T loops). The record is from RNAcentral. Lineage: Bacteria; Pseudomonadati; Pseudomonadota; Gammaproteobacteria; Enterobacterales; Enterobacteriaceae.
GCCAAUUUAGCUCAGUAGGUAGAGCAACUGACUUGUAAUCAGUAGGUCACCAUCCGAUUCCGGUAGUCGGCACCA